UUGCCAACGUUGAUUCUGAAUUUUUAUUAAUAAAAAAAUGAAACUACCAAUUUGGGAGUAAAUGUAACCAGUAUAACAAUGUUAAUGUAACCAGAUGAAUUAUAAUUGAAUAAAAAUCUAAAUUUUCCAGAAGGAAACAAAAUGAUUAAAAAUGGAAAUGUGCUCCCACAGUUACAUAUGACACAUGAUGAAAUUUCGUAUGCCCUCUUCGUAAUCAUUAGACUUCAGUUAUAAUCGCUGCAUAUUGAAUGGAAACAUAUGAAUGAAA
Molecule: unclassified non-coding RNA, 268 nt
Filed under: Hevea brasiliensis (rubber tree)
Lineage: Eukaryota; Viridiplantae; Streptophyta; Magnoliopsida; Malpighiales; Euphorbiaceae
Source: RNAcentral